Molecule: long non-coding RNA, 1502 nt
Filed under: Homo sapiens (human)
Lineage: Eukaryota; Metazoa; Chordata; Mammalia; Primates; Hominidae
Description: novel transcript
Source: RNAcentral
GGACAAGGCCUCCAGGCUGGGGGUGUCAGACACACAGCAGCGAGGGUGUCUUGCCCAGUUCUCCCAUGCGGCCGUUGGAGCCCACACGUGGCUGACCUGUCAUGUUUGUAGUGUUCUUGGACCUCAGGGCCUUCGUCCUCUCCAUUCUAAGUACAGAAAGACAUUUGACUGACAUGGACUCCCUCAGGUGUUUUGCAAUACGCAAUACAUUCUCAUUGACUCUGGUCACCCUGCUGUGCACUGGAUGUGAAAACCUCUUCUUCCUGUCCAUCUCAGACUUUGGUCCUUUGAGCAACAACUCUCCAUUCUCUCCCUCUUUCCCACCCCCACACCUGAUACCCAGCCCCUGGUCACCAUUGAUCUACUCGCUACUUCUACGGGGUCAACAUUUUUCGAUCAAGACUUCCGUAACUUCAUGUGGAAUUUGCCUUUCUGAGGUGUGCAUAGACAGAGGCAGGCCUGCAGCAGGUGAGACGCAGACUUCUGCAAAGGAAGUGCAUCCAUCGCCCCAUUCACUGAGUGCUAACGUCACGCCCCCCUCAGAGUCAUUGCCCCAUUUCUUGUUCAUGGAAAACGCUUAAGAAAGGCUCUGCUGGCUCAUCUCAUUGGCAAGAAAACCAAAGUUAAAGAGGCUGGUCCAGGCCCUGUGGCUUGUGCCUGCGUGGGAGGAGCAGGUUGUGGCCCAGGGCCUCUGGGACUCUAUGCAUGUGCUUGGCCCCUGCCCCUCACUGCUCCUCCCAGAGACCUGCCUGGGCCAGAGCAGAAGAGCCUCCUGCAGGGACUGGGAAGCUAGAGAGGGCCUCUAAUCAAAGGACGAUGUCCCUGGGCCCCCUCGGGGACUUCACCUGAAAAAGCAGCUCCUUGGUGUCGAUGUCAUACACCAGGCAAGUGUCAUUUUCAUCUACCACGGCCAGCUUCUUACGGGAGGCACUCAUGUCCAAGCAGCGCACAGCUGUGGCCUGCUUCAGCAGGACGAUAGCAAAGAGAUUGUCCACGAAGAUCUUCAGGAUCUGGCAAAAUUUCAGCGAAAACAGUGUCAGUCACCAUGGCAACAAGAUCCUGGCCCACUGCCAGGCCGUUGGACUCCCAUGUGCUCUGCAAGAACAACUCCCACCACCUUCACCAGAAGCUCCGUGCAGGGAAAAGGACUCAUCAAAAGAAAGAGGGGGUGGGGCGUUGGCUUAUCCUUAGGAGGCCAGAAGCGAGGUUCAUCAGAGGCUGCAGAAGUAAUGACAGACCCGAGACAGGCCGAGCUCACUUCAGUGUCUGUUCGGACUGGGGAUUUGUUGAUGACAUUACCCAGACUGCAGCGUUAGGAGAUGCCACCUAGCAGAGAUCUGAGUCACGAACUAACAUAAGAAAAGGCUACUAUGAACACUGACAAGACAUGUGGUAGAAAAUUAUAAUAAUGAUGACAGUGAUGAUGACAGCCAUCAUCUACUAAUAUCCCUGGUUUAAAAAAAAAUUUUUUUAGAGAUAAAGUCUUGCUAUGUUGCCCAGGC